CCUANNAAACCCAAANGANNNAAUGGGGAGAUUCAUCGUCAGCUCAUUUUGUAUAUGUANNNAGUUAUGAUGCGGGUUACUACUUGUAGUAUUGCCUGCAGAUUCUUGUAUAUUUAGUUGCAAGAUGUUGUCGGCGUGCACUUCUCCCCUAGUAGGACGUCGCGACCUGUUGGGUGUCGGUCUACGGCCCAAGUGAUAGCCUUUAAUGUAAUUUAAAAAACAUUGAAGAUCCUUGGUGUUUUCUGACCGGCUACUUGGCAGUAUUCGUACGGUAUUUAGCCGCUAAAUUUAUUAAGCGUCCAUAUCCAUCACAAGCGAGGCUAAUUUACUUGAUAGUACGGACCUAGUGCCGUCGUUGGUAUUGGCCAGCUGUUGGUUGAUGGUAUUCUAGGACUGGCUAAAAUUAAUUACCGGUCGGCGAUGCUACUGCUUUGGGUACUUUCAGGACCCGUCUUGAAACACGGACCAAGGAGUCUAACAUGUGCGCAAGUCAUUGGGAUUUUUUUUAAAUUAAACCUAAAGGCGCAAUGAAAGUAAAGGUUGACCUUGCGUCAACCGAGGGAGGAUGAGNUA
RNAcentral lists this ribosomal RNA (573 nucleotides) under Aleiodes sp. MRS198. RNAcentral's name for it is "LSU rRNA". It matches the Rfam family "Eukaryotic large subunit ribosomal RNA", at positions 463 to 747 of the family's 3401-position model. Lineage: Eukaryota; Metazoa; Arthropoda; Insecta; Hymenoptera; Braconidae. The record is from RNAcentral.